GACGAACGCUGGCGGCGUGCUUAACACAUGCAAGUCGAACGGAAAGGCCUCUUCGGAGGUACUCGAGUGGCGAACGGGUGAGUAACACGUGGGCAAUCUGCCCUGCACUUCGGGAUAAGCCUGGGAAACUGGGUCUAAUACCGGAUAGGACCUCAAGACGCAUGUCUUCUGGUGGAACCGAUAUCAAGCUUUUGCGGUGUGGGAUGGGCCCGCGGCCAUCAGCUUGUUGGUGGGGUGACGGCCUACCAAGGCGACGACGGGUAGCCGGCCUGAGAGGGUGUCCGGCCACACUGGGACUGAGAUACGGCCCAGACUCCUACGGGAGGCAGCAGUGGGGAAUAUUGCACAAUGGGCGCAAGCCUGAUGCAGCGACGCCGCGUGGGGGAUAAGCGCAUGACGGCCUUCGGGUUGUAAACCUCUUUCACCAUCGACGAAGGUCCGGGUUUUCUCGGAUUGACGGUAGGUGGAGAAGAAGCACCGGCCAACUACGUGCCAGCAGCCGCGGUAAUACGUAGGGUGCGAGCGUUGUCCGGAAUUACUGGGCGUAGAGAGAGCGACGAUCUCGUAGGUGGUUUGUCGCGUUGUUCGUGAAAUCUCACGGCUUAACUGUGAGCGUGCGGGCGAUACGGGCCCGAGAUUCGAAGACUAAAGUACUGCAGGGGAGACUGGAAUUCCUGGUGUAGCGGUGGAAUGCGCAGAUAUCAGGAGGAACACCGGUGGCGAAGGCGGGUCUCUGGGCAGUAACUGACGCUGAGGAGCGAAAGCGUGGGGAGCGAACAGGAUUAGAUACCCUCCGAGAUGGUAGUCCACGCCGUAAACGGUGGGUACUAGGUGUGGGUUUCCUUCCUUGGGAUCCGUGCCGUAGCUAACGCAUUAAGUACCCCGCCUGGGGAGUACGGCCGCAAGGCUAAAACUCAAAGGAAUUGACGGGGGCCCGCACAAGCGGCGGAGCAUGUGGAUUAAUUCGAUGCAACGCGAAGAACCUUACCUGGGUUUGACAUGCACAGGACGCGUCUACCAGGAGAUUAGAGAUA
RNAcentral lists this ribosomal RNA (1034 nucleotides) under uncultured bacterium. RNAcentral's name for it is "bacterial SSU rRNA". It matches the Rfam family "Bacterial small subunit ribosomal RNA", at positions 28 to 1020 of the family's 1533-position model. The record is from RNAcentral.